RNAcentral lists this ribosomal RNA (419 nucleotides) under uncultured Prevotella sp. RNAcentral describes it as "bacterial SSU rRNA". It matches the Rfam family "Bacterial small subunit ribosomal RNA", at positions 358 to 774 of the family's 1533-position model. The record is from RNAcentral. Lineage: Bacteria; Pseudomonadati; Bacteroidota; Bacteroidia; Bacteroidales; Prevotellaceae.
GGAAUAUUGGUCAAUGGGCGAGAGCCUGAACCAGCCAAGUAGCGUGCAGGAAGACGGCCCUAUGGGUUGUAAACUGCUUUUAUACGGGGAUAAAGUGAGGGACGUGUCCCUUAUUGUAGGUACCGUAUGAAUAAGGACCGGCUAAUUCCGUGCCAGCAGCCGCGGUAAUACGGAAGGUCCGGGCGUUAUCCGGAUUUAUUGGGUUUAAAGGGAGCGUAGGCCGUCGUUUAAGCGUGUUGUGAAAUGUAGGCGCCCAACGUCUGCACUGCAGCGCGAACUGGAUGACUUGAGUACGCAGGAAGCAGGCGGAAUUCGUCGUGUAGCGGUGAAAUGCUUAGAUAUGACGAAGAACUCCGAUUGGGAAGCCAGCCUGCUGUAGCGCCACUGACGCUGAUGCUCGAAAGCGUGGGUAUCGAACA